Molecule: ribosomal RNA, 744 nt
Filed under: Kimberleydiscus fasciatus
Lineage: Eukaryota; Metazoa; Mollusca; Gastropoda; Stylommatophora; Camaenidae
Description: partial 16S ribosomal RNA
Source: RNAcentral
CGCGAAACAAGGCGAGCUACCAAGUGGCGUAUAGUAGUACUUUCCUAUGUGGCAUAAUAGUAAGAGAUCUCGUGGUAGGGGUGAGAGGCUUCCACGUCUUGUGAUAACUCGAUAGCUCCGAAGUGUACUAGUACAAAGACAACCUGUUAGUGAAAAGACUAGCAGGUCUCAUUUAACUUUGUAGUUAAUUUGUGCGUGAUAUAAUAGUCUGCAUAGGCUUUAGCCACCAUAAAUGUAAAAACUUAGUGGUGUCUAGGGGCCACUAUAAAACAAUACAAGAUACUUAUAAUGUGGGCAUUAGUAAUAAAGAUAUUGUUUAUGAACUCGGCAAUAUUUUCUUUAGCUGUUUACCAAAAACAUCGCCAGUAGGUGUCACUAUUGGUUAGUUCUGCUCAAUGGUUCUAAAUAGCCGCAGUACCCUGACUGUGCAAAGGUAGCAUAAUCAUUUGGCUUAUAAUUGAAGUCUUGUAUGAAUGAAUCUAUAGGGGAAAACUAUAUUUGCAAUAUAAGUUGAAUUUAUCUUGUAAGUGCAAACCCUUACAUAUAAAUAAUAGACGAGAAGACCCUAGAAAUUUUUUAUAAAAAUGUCCUGUAAAAUUUUUGUUGGGGCAACAUGGUAGCACUUUCAACCUACAGUAUUUAACAUGGAAAAUGUUUAGGUAGAUAAAAUUACUCUAGGGAUAACAGCGUAAUUUAUGUUAAGUUUGCGACCUCGAUGUUGGACUAGGAAGCAAUUGCUUAGAA